GACGAACGCUGGCGGCGUGCUUAACACAUGCAAGUCGAACGGAAAGGCCCUGCUUUUGUGGGGUUCUCGAGUGGCGAACGGGUGAGUAACACGUGAGUAACCUGCCCUUGACUUUGGGAUAACUUCAGGAAACUGGUGCUAAUACCGGAUAGGAGCUCCUGCUGCAUGGUGGUGGUUGGAAAGUUUCGGCGGUUGGGGAUGGACUCGCGGCUUAUCAGCUUGUUGGUGGGGUAGUGGCUUACCAAGGCUUUGACGGGUAGCCGGCCUGAGAGGGUGACCGGCCACAAUGGGACUGAGAUACGGCGCAGACUCCUACGGGAGGCAGCAGUGGGAAAUAUUGCACAAUGGGCGGAAGCCUGAUGCAGCAACGCCGCGUGCGGGAAGACGGCCUUCGGGUUGUAAACCGCUUUCGCCUGUGACGAAGCGUGAGUGACGGUAAUGGGUAAAGAAGCACCGGCUAACUACGUG
This 468-nucleotide ribosomal RNA is filed under the name uncultured bacterium. RNAcentral describes it as "partial 16S ribosomal RNA". It matches the Rfam family "Bacterial small subunit ribosomal RNA", at positions 28 to 507 of the family's 1533-position model. The record is from RNAcentral.